CCCUUAGAUGUCCUGGGCCGCACGCGUGCUACACUGACGCCUACAGCGAGUACUUCCCAGCCCCGAGAGGUGGCUGGUAAUCAGCAAUAGGCGUCGUGAUGGGGAUAGAUCUUUGGAAUUAUGGAUCUUGAACGAGGAAUGCCUAGUAAGCGCAGGUCAUUAGCCUGCGCUGAUUAAGUCCCUGCCCUUUGUACACACCGCCCGUCGCUCCUACCGAUUUCGAGUGGUCCGGUGAAUCUUUCGGACUGCGCGCGGCCUCGUGCCGCGUCGCGGAAAGUCAGGUAAACCUUAUCACUUAGAGGAAGGAGAAGUCGUANCA
RNAcentral lists this ribosomal RNA (319 nucleotides) under uncultured eukaryote. RNAcentral's name for it is "partial 18S ribosomal RNA". It matches the Rfam family "Eukaryotic small subunit ribosomal RNA", at positions 1470 to 1796 of the family's 1831-position model. The record is from RNAcentral.